Molecule: ribosomal RNA, 454 nt
Filed under: Streptococcus mitis
Lineage: Bacteria; Bacillati; Bacillota; Bacilli; Lactobacillales; Streptococcaceae
Description: bacterial SSU rRNA
Rfam family: Bacterial small subunit ribosomal RNA
Source: RNAcentral
GACGAACGCUGGCGGCGUGCCUAAUACAUGCAAGUAGAACGCUGAAGGAGGAGCUUGCUUCUCUGGAUGAGUUGCGAACGGGUGAGUAACGCGUAGGUAACCUGCCUGGUAGCGGGGGAUAACUAUUGGAAACGAUAGCUAAUACCGCAUAACAGUAGAUGUUGCAUGACAUUUGCUUAAAAGGUGCAAUUGCAUCACUACCAGAUGGACCUGCGUUGUAUUAGCUAGUUGGUGGGGUAACGGCUCACCAAGGCGACGAUACAUAGCCGACCUGAGAGGGUGAUCGGCCACACUGGGACUGAGACACGGCCCAGACUCCUACGGGAGGCAGCAGUAGGGAAUCUUCGGCAAUGGACGGAAGUCUGACCGAGCAACGCCGCGUGAGUGAAGAAGGUUUUCGGAUCGUAAAGCUCUGUUGUAAGAGAAGAACGAGUGUGAGAGUGGAAAGUUCACA